UUGCAGCCAGUUAAGCCGACUGUGCUCUUUUCCCCAUGGGGGCCCGGUGCGCAAUGGCUGCAAACAGCAGCCUCCUCGGUAGUGUAUGCAACCUGUUGCCUGUAUGGGUUGCCCUAAGGGACCUUGGAGACAGCC
RNAcentral lists this small nucleolar RNA (135 nucleotides) under Phocoena sinus (vaquita). Its description in RNAcentral is "Small nucleolar RNA SNORA70 (ENSPSNG00000019522.1)". It matches the Rfam family "Small nucleolar RNA SNORA70". From Rfam's summary of the family: snoRNA U70 seems to be exclusive to mammals and is a member of the H/ACA class of snoRNA which contain H (ANANNA) and ACA box motifs. H/ACA box snoRNAs are involved in the conversion of uridines to pseudouridines (5-ribosyluracil) a constituent of structural RNAs (transfer, ribosomal, small nuclear, and small nucleolar). The record is from Rfam by way of RNAcentral. Lineage: Eukaryota; Metazoa; Chordata; Mammalia; Artiodactyla; Phocoenidae.